RNAcentral lists this ribosomal RNA (841 nucleotides) under Verrucocladosporium carpobroti. Its description in RNAcentral is "partial large subunit ribosomal RNA". It matches the Rfam family "Eukaryotic large subunit ribosomal RNA", at positions 31 to 899 of the family's 3401-position model. The record is from RNAcentral. Lineage: Eukaryota; Fungi; Ascomycota; Dothideomycetes; Cladosporiales; Cladosporiaceae.
AACUUAAGCAUAUCAAUAAGCGGAGGAAAAGAAACCAACAGGGAUUGCCCUAGUAACGGCGAGUGAAGCGGCAACAGCUCAAAUUUGAAAUCUGGCGUCUACGGCGUCCGAGUUGUAAUUUGUAGAGGAUGCUUCUGGGUAGCCACCGGUCUAAGUUCCUUGGAACAGGACGUCAUAGAGGGUGAGAAUCCCGUAUGCGACCGGAAAGGCACCCUCCACGUAGCUCCUUCGACGAGUCGAGUUGUUUGGGAAUGCAGCUCUAAAUGGGAGGUAAAUUUCUUCUAAAGCUAAAUACCGGCCAGAGACCGAUAGCGCACAAGUAGAGUGAUCGAAAGAUGAAAAGCACUUUGGAAAGAGAGUUAAAAAGCACGUGAAAUUGUUGAAAGGGAAGCGCUUGCAACCAGACUUGCUCGCGGUGUUCAGCCGGUCUUCUGACCGGUCUACUCGCCGCGUUGCAGGCCAGCAUCGUCUGGGGCCGCCGGAUAAGACUUUGGGAAUGUAGCUCCUUCGGGAGUGUUAUAGCCCAUCGUGAUGCGGCGCGCCCCGGGCGAGGUCCGCGCUUCGGCUAGGAUGCUGGCGUAAUGGUCGUAAGCGGCCCGUCUUGAAACACGGACCAAGGAGUCUAGCAUCUAUGCGAGUGUUCGGGUGUAAAACCCCUACGCGUAAUGAAAGUGAACGGAGGUGGGAACUUUUUGUGCACCAUCGACCGAUCCUGAUGUCUUCGGAUGGAUUUGAGUAAGAGCAUAGCUGUUGGGACCCGAAAGAUGGUGAACUAUGCCUGAAUAGGGUGAAGCCAGAGGAAACUCUGGUGGAGGCUCGCAGCGGUUCUGACGUGCAAAUC